GACGAACGCUGGCGGCGUGCUUAACACAUGCAAGUCGAACGGAAAGGCCCUGCUUUUGUGGGGUGCUCGAGUGGCGAACGGGUGAGUAACACGUGAGUAACCUGCCCUUGACUUUGGGAUAACUUCAGGAAACUGGGGCUAAUACCGGAUAGGAGCUCCUGCUGCAUGGUGGGGGUUGGAAAGUUUCGGCGGUUGGGGAUGGACUCGCGGCUUAUCAGCUUGUUGGUGGGGUAGUGGCUUACCAAGGCUUUGACGGGUAGCCGGCCUGAGAGGGUGACCGGCCACAUUGGGACUGAGAGACGGACCAGACUCCUACGGGAGGCAGCAGUGGGGAAUAUUGCACAAUGGGCGGAAGCCUGAUGCAGCAACGCCGCGUGCGUGAUGACGGCCUUCGGGUUGUAAACCGCUUUCGCCUGUGACGAAGCGUGAGUGACGGUAAUGGGUAAAGAAGCACCGGCUAACUACGUG
Molecule: ribosomal RNA, 468 nt
Filed under: uncultured bacterium
Lineage: Bacteria
Description: partial 16S ribosomal RNA
Rfam family: Bacterial small subunit ribosomal RNA
Source: RNAcentral